CCUACGGGGUGCAGCAGUGGGGAAUAUUGGGCAAUGGGCGCAAGCCUGACCCAGCAACGCCGCGUGAAGGAAGAAGGCUUUCGGGUUGUAAACUUCUUUUGUCAGGGAAGAGUAGAAGACGGUACCUGACGAAUAAGCCACGGCUAACUACGUGCCAGCAGCCGCGGUAAUUCGUAGGUGGCAAGCGUUGUCCGGAUUUACUGGGUGUAAAGGGCGUGUAGCCGGGUUGACAAGUCAGAUGUGAAAUCCUGCGGCUUAACCGCAGAACUGCAUUUGAAACUGUUGAUCUUGAGUACUGGAGAGGCAGAUGGAAUUCCUAGUGUAGCGGUGAAAUGCGUAGAUAUUAGGAGGAACACCAGUGGCGAAGGCGGUCUGCUGGACAGCAACUGACGGUGAGGCGCGAAAGCGUGGGGAGCAAACAGGAUUAGAUACCCCAGUAGUC
Molecule: ribosomal RNA, 442 nt
Filed under: uncultured bacterium
Lineage: Bacteria
Description: partial 16S ribosomal RNA
Rfam family: Bacterial small subunit ribosomal RNA
Source: RNAcentral